This 182-nucleotide unclassified non-coding RNA is filed under the name uncultured Inocybe. Its description in RNAcentral is "sequence contains ITS2". Lineage: Eukaryota; Fungi; Basidiomycota; Agaricomycetes; Agaricales; Cortinariaceae. The record is from RNAcentral.
AAGUUCCUCAAACCACAUUUUGGUGUGGCUUUGGAUGUGGGGGAAAUGUGUUUGCAGGUCUCUGAAAUGAAGCCUGCUCCCCUGAAAUGCAUUAGUAGUAUCCAAGCAGACUACCGGGUGUGAUAAUUUAUCUAUGCCCUUGAUAGGCUGCAUGACUGCUUCCAAUCAACUUUAUCUCUUUU